Molecule: long non-coding RNA, 1684 nt
Organism: Mesocricetus auratus (golden hamster)
Lineage: Eukaryota; Metazoa; Chordata; Mammalia; Rodentia; Cricetidae
Exons: 4
Source: RefSeq, a predicted model, not a curated record
GUGAAGCAAGCCAGUAAGCAGCACCCCUGCAUGACCUCUGCAUCAUCUCCUGCACUCCAGGAACCUGCCCUGUUUGAGGUCCUGUCCUGACUUCCUUCACGCAAUAGAAACUCGAACGAAGACAACAAUACAGGAUGAAACGUGGUUAAUUGGCUGUUCUUUGAGGGUGCUAAUGAUGACAUAUCCAGGGCCCACACAGAGAGACAGCAAGUAUCCAUAACUGCUAUAAAACAAGACAUGAAAUAUGCCUCAGGACUCCAAAAUUGAAUUCUGUGCUCUGGUGCCCACACAAUCAAAUGUAACUGAGGCCGUUUUAAUCAUGGAUGCCCAUUCCCUUUCACGACCAUGUCCCUAAAUGAAAUAGUCAUCAAAAAAUUAGUAUUUUGAAAAGCAUCAAUGCUGAUUGGAGGAAGUUGAUUUCCUUGUCUGGAGACAAAGGAAGCUCACCUAUAGCCUUUCCUAAGCUGCCAUCAUGUGGUUGCUCACACACAUCCUGCAGGGCCUGCACUGCCAUACAGUGACCCCGGCUCCACCAGGGGCUAAGGAGGACCACAGAGAAUAAGCACCCCCAUAACUAGUCUAGGCUAUGAUAGAAAUAUGGGUGUAACUUGCUAAACUUGUUAGGUGUGUCUGUAUGAUUUGCUAAAAUGCAAAAAGGAAUGUUAAUAAGGAAUAUGAAGACACUAAGACUAUAAAGGAUCCUUGAAUGCAGUGUCUGACCGAGACCCUAGAAGAAGGUUGAGACAGGACAAUCAUCAAGUCAGCCUGAGCUGUAUAGGGAGAGCCAGUCUCACCAAAAUAAUUCAUAAUAAUAAUACAAUUUAAACACAGUUUUUCAUAAAAUGAGUUUUGAGAUUUUAUUCAUAUGGCAAGAUUUUAUAUGUGAUUUUAAUAUGUGGUUUCCUAUAAACACAGGAAAACCCAGAGAAAUUAGUAGAAUUAAAUUCUAUCAUAUUUGUGGAUGUAGUGGAACAGGUCUGUGUCCCAACAUUUGGGAGGUAGAAGCAGAAGGAUCAGAAAUCCUCCUCUCCAGUGGCUACAUAGUGGGUUCCAGAUUAGACUGUGUAUUGUUCAAUGAAUAUUAAAAGAGCUGUUGUUUGGGGAUGGGCUUCCCAUACUGGGUCCAAGCAGACCAGACAGAAAACCCAAACAGUGUCACUCACUCACAUUCUAAAUUGUUCACCCCGGCUCCCUAGACACCAGGAUUAGAGAGCUAACAGCCCAAUUUCCCAGAAGGCCUUGGCAUCAAUCAAGAACAUUCCUCUGCUUACUCCUCACUGAGAGUAGAACCCAUUGUCAAUCAGUCAGUGUGCUCCUGUUGCCUUAGAAGGAAUUCAGCUUUACAAUGGCCUGUUUGCUCUUUGUCCGCUUGUAUUUUUUUCCUGCUUCCUCCAGCCUUUCCCUGGCUAUAAACCAACUCCUGCCAGGCCCACAGAAUAUGUUCUCUUGUUUGUGGAAUAAAGUGUUGCCCUACCCUAGAAAGACACUGCUAUAAUUUUGUCCUUGACGAAGUUAGGAGGUCUCAGGUCUGCCCACAUUUGGGGAUGCUGUCAUCUUGGUACUUGCCACUGCUUUUUCCCCAGAUAAGAAGCCAAUGCAGCCAAUAGGACUGUCUGCAGUUUUCUGGGCGCAACUACUGCACACUCAUCGUUUUAGAUCACCCAUGAGAUUAGAGGAACGGAUU